CCUACGGGUGGCAGCAGUGGGGGAUAUUGCACAAUGGGGGGAACCCUGAUGCAGCGACGCCGCGUGGGUGAAGAAGCGCCUCGGCGCGUAAAGCCCUGUCAGCAGGGAAGAAAAUGACGGUACCUGAAGAAGAAGCCCCGGCUAACUACGUGCCAGCAGCCGCGGUAAUACGCAGGGGGCAAGCGUUAUCCGGAUUUACUGGGUGUAAAGGGGGCGCAGGGGGGGAGGAAAGCCAGGAGGGAAAGCCCUGGUCCCAACCCCGGGACUGCCCUUGUAACUGCGUGGCUGGAGUGCAGGAGGGGCAGGCGGAAGUCCUGGUGUAGCGGUGAAAUGCGUAGAUAUCAGGAGGAACACCGGUGGCGAAGGCGGCCUGCUGGACUGCAACUGACGUUGAGGCCCGAAAGCGUGGGGAGCAAACAGGAUUAGAUACCCUGGUAGUC
Molecule: ribosomal RNA, 440 nt
Filed under: uncultured bacterium
Lineage: Bacteria
Description: partial 16S ribosomal RNA
Rfam family: Bacterial small subunit ribosomal RNA
Source: RNAcentral